This 342-nucleotide long non-coding RNA is filed under the name Setaria italica (foxtail millet). RNAcentral describes it as "long non-coding RNA (SITA_LNC006671)". Lineage: Eukaryota; Viridiplantae; Streptophyta; Magnoliopsida; Poales; Poaceae. The record is from RNAcentral.
GGCUACAAGCUACGGUAUAGAAGGACCUCACCAAAGAGUGGUGGAACAACAAAUUAAACGCAUCAAAGAUGAGGAUCUGUUGCUUCUCAACCUUGAGGACGAAUCCCUUUUGCUCUCUCGCAAGUUCUCUUCUCCAAUCUUCCUUCUCCAUCUCUCUAUUCUUCUCCUCGUGGAGGCUGCACUUUGAAAUCUCAUAGCUCUGUCUCUUAUGCUAAGGGGGUGUUUGGGAGGAGGGGGCUAAAUUUUAGCCCCCGUCACAUCGAAUGUUUGGACACUAAUUAGGAGUAUUAAACCUAGACUAAUUACAAAACUAAUUACACAACCCCUAGGCUAAAUCGCGAG